GAAGGGUCGGUCCAGUGUGGGAGGUUGGGAAUGAUCCUUCUGGAAGGUGAGGAAUGUUCUGGUGUGGAAGGUGAGGAAUGAUCUGGUGUGGAAAGUUGGGAAUGAUCAUUCUGGAAGGUGAGGAAUGUUCUGGUGUGGAAGGUUGGGAAUGGUUGUAGAAGCUGAGGAAUUUUGUGGUGUGGAAGGUUGGGAUGGUUUUUGUACAAUGUGAAGAAUGUUCUGGUGUGGAAGGUGGGGAAUGAUCAUUCUGGAAGGUGAGGAGUGAUCUGGUGUGGAAGGUGAGGAAGGGUCUGGUGUGGAAGGUUGGGAAUGGUUGUAGAAUGUGAGGAAUGUUCUGGCAUGGAAAGUUGGGAAUGAUCAUUCUGGAAGGUGAGGAAUGUUCUGGUGUGGAAGGUUGGGAUGGUUGUUGUAGAAGGUGAGGAAUGUUCUGGGGUGGAAAGUUGGGAGUGGUCCUUGUAGAAAGUGAGGAAUGAUCUGAUGUGGAAGGUGAGGAAGGGUCUGGUGUGGAAGGUUGGGAAUGAUUAUUCUGGAAGGUGAGGAUUGUUCUGAUGUGGAAGAUGAAGAAUAGUCCAGUGUGGAAAGUGAGGAACGAUCCCUUGUGGAAGGUGGGGAAUGCUCCAGUGUGGAAGUUGAGGAGCAGUUUGAUGUGGAAGGUGAGGAAUGAUUCGGUGAGGAAGGGUCUGAUGUGGAAAAUGAGGGACAAUCCCAUGUGGGAGGUGGAACUUGAGGAGCAAUCCCACGUGCCCUGCCAUGGGUUGCCCCAUGAGAUAUUUUUGGAGUCUAUGGGGAAGGGGUUGGGUGGGAAGGUGAGGAAGGGUCGGUCCAGUGUGGAAGGUUGGGAAUGAUCCUUCUGGAAGUGAGGAAGAGUCUGGUGUGGAAGGUGAGGAAAGCUCCAAUGUGGAAGGUGAGGAGCAAUCCCACGUGGAAGAUGGGGAUGGAUUUUAUGUGAAAGGUGAGGAGCAAUCCCAUGUGGAAGUUGAGGAAAGCUCCAGUGUGGAGCAUGAGGAGCAAUCCCACGUGGAAGAUGGGGAUGGAUUUUAUUUGGAAGGUGAGGAACAAUCCCAUGUGGAAGUUGAGGAAAGCUCCAGGGUGGAGGGUGAGGAACAAUCCCAUGUGGAAGUUGAGGAAAGCUCCAGGGUGGAAGGUGAGGAAAGCUCCAGGGUGGAGGGUGAGGAGCAAUCCCAUGUGGAAGGUGAGGAGCAAUCCCCUGUGGAAGGUGGGGAUGGAUUUUAUUUGGAAGGUGAGGAGCAGUCCCCUGUGGAAGGUGGGGAUGGAUUUUAUUUGGAAGGUGAGAAACAAUCCCAUGUGGAAGGUGAGCAGCAAUUCUGCGUAGAAGAUGGGGGAUGGAUUUUAUUUGGAAGGUGAGGAGCAAUCCCCUGUGGAAGGUGGGGAUGGAUUUUAUUUGGAAGGUGAGGAACAAUCCCAUGUGGAAGGNGGAUGGAUUUUAUUUGGAAGGUGAGGAGCAAUCCCCUGUGGAAGGUGGGGAUGGAUUUUAUUUGGAAGGUGAGGAACAAUCCCAUGUGGAAGGUGGGGAGGCCCUCAGGCCCAUCCCAAAUCCCGCGGCGGGCGCCGAGGAGCGCCCCGGCUCCCGGCAAUUAAACGCUGCUAACGAGGGAAGCGCUCGUUCCGUCCCUCGCGAUUGCUCCUGGCGCAGCCUCUCGACGAGCGCCUUCCAACACGGUUCUGCAGCACUGGAAGGGGAAAAAAAAAUUAAAUAAAUCGAAUCAAAUCUGCAUAUUUUAAGGAGACAGAUUGCUGCCUUCAUCUGGCUCCCUGAUUAGAUGCCAGGGCGGCACCG
Molecule: non-coding RNA, 1798 nt
Organism: Lonchura striata (white-rumped munia)
Lineage: Eukaryota; Metazoa; Chordata; Aves; Passeriformes; Estrildidae
Source: RefSeq, a predicted model, not a curated record